Molecule: non-coding RNA, 390 nt
Organism: Pelobates cultripes (western spadefoot toad)
Lineage: Eukaryota; Metazoa; Chordata; Amphibia; Anura; Pelobatidae
Source: the annotation of a GenBank genome assembly
CCUUCGUCUAGAAAGAGCGGCAUUCAACUGAAUUGAACAAAUGAACACCAGGCACACGACUACCCAAUUCAUGAACAAUUGUAUUCUUUAUUUUAAUAGUGAAAACUCCCAAAAGAAGACCGGUCAAAACAUACAACCACAUGGAACUGUUUUGGGGCUUCGCCUCGUGGUUGACCGGUCAAACUUUCACUCAAAUGGCGUUCCUGUUCUACCGAAUGGAUCUGAGCGGUAUUUCAACAGAUUGGGCACUCAGACCCCGCUAUUCAGUGAAGGGAGUUCUGAUUAAUAUUAUGGGAGUUAUGAUGUUUUAAAAUAUUGUUUGAUGUUCUGUACUUGUUUAGCUGAUAUGCUUUCCUGAAGAAGUGUGUUUCCAAAGAUUUUUUGAAGGAG